Molecule: long non-coding RNA, 1213 nt
Organism: Anser brachyrhynchus (Pink-footed goose)
Lineage: Eukaryota; Metazoa; Chordata; Aves; Anseriformes; Anatidae
Source: Ensembl
GAAUGCUGCAAAAAGUAAUUGGCGUUCAUCUAGCACGGAACUAUGUGAUAUUUAUACUGCUUCAUAGCAUCAAUUCAAGUUUUACAUCACCAACUCAUCAAGUUUUAGAAAAAAGUGAAGUGGUGCCCAGCAAACUUAAAAUGAAACUGAAAGGUGCAUCUGAAGCUAUUUUAAAUUUCUUCAGGCCAGUGACCUGCCGUCACAAAGAAAAAGGCACCUUGGUUCCUUGUGCUGUAGGAGGGAGCAUUAACAGAACUGAGUGCUUGGAAAAUAAAUGCUGUCCUUCCAAAGACAGACAUGAACUGGCAUGUUAUGUCCCAUUUAAAGACAAUCUGCAACUGACAUUUCGACUAUUUGUGCUUGGGGCAGUAGGAUUUUUUAUUUUGGGGUGUCUGCCAUCGUGUUGCUGUGUCUGUUUGCAGAGGAGUCCAUGUGUCAAUCCUUUACGAAGGGCAAACAAAAAAAUAGAGAAAAUUGUGCAGAAGAAAAGAGCACGUAGUGAAGAUAUGCAUAGGUUGUUACCGGAUUAACUUAAAGACUCUGAGGACCAUAAACACAAGAAAAAGAGGAGCACCCACCUGAUUUUAAAGACCUCAAGCAGGAGAAGGACACCAGGAUUACUUGAGUAUGCUCUAGAAAAUGAGAUGCUUUGUUUUAGUAUCAAAGUAAUACAAUGUUGUCAACCCUUGAUAAUGCUAUUGAUUUUGUAUUAGAAGUUGUUCAUUUCUAUUUCUUCAUACUCAUUCCAUAUCUCCUGUAUGAAAAAUAUGGUAAUGCUGAAAGGCAAAAAGUGCUCAUGGUAAUUCCUGAAUGCCACUCUUCUCUUAUUAAUACAGCAUCCCUAUGGAGGGAUAUGAAGAUACCAGUUAAAUGCCUGUCAUAGUUUAGAGGUCAGUCUUAGAGUAUUAUCUGGAUUAAGAAGAGAUAGUUGUCAUUCAUUAAAUCGGUACUGAGUGGCAAGCUUACUGUGUUCCAGUAUUGGAUACCACUGUAGCACAGCAAUGCUACUCUUACUGAGGAGAACAACUAAUUAUUUACCAGGCUGCAGAGGUUUUAGGAAACCUGUGGUUGGGCCGUUCCUUUAAAGACAUAAUGGGCAAAAAUGUGAAGAACUUCAGGAAACUGUAGUAGCAUUUCUGCUGGCAUUUUCUGCCCCUGGCAUAUCACUGCACCACAGAACUUCCUUUGAUCUUCAGGCGACUUGUCUCCCAAG